Molecule: long non-coding RNA, 2643 nt
Filed under: Homo sapiens (human)
Lineage: Eukaryota; Metazoa; Chordata; Mammalia; Primates; Hominidae
Description: HSALNT0337090
Source: RNAcentral
CAGAGCCCCCACCUCUGACCAGGAGGCCUCCCAACAGAGAGCUCUAAUAAAUAAGAGUUCUUAUCUGUAAAAUCAGGAAAAUAACAGUACCUAUCAUAUGGGAUUAUUUUGAAGGAAACACUUGAAACAGUGAUUGCCAUAAUUGCCCUGCAAUGGAUCAUGGAUCCCAGGCUGCUUCUGGACAGGCUCCAGACUCACUGGAGACAUCCUGACACAUAAUGCUUCGCCCAGCACAAUGCGAUGCCCUUUACCUAGUAAAAGGGUGAGUCCCGUAAAGGUGCUGCCUUCCCCCCAGAACAAACAAGGGAAAUGCAUCAGGAGAGCUCAGCUGCAGACAGAAUGCACAUCAUGAAGCAGGAGCCACCCUGGGAUUCCUCAGAUGAAAGCCAAUUUCAAUGAACAUUGUGUUUCAAAGCCCGCUUCCUCUUGCUCGGUUGUCUGCCAACGCUAACUGGCCAGCUCUGACAGGAGGUGCGUGGCCCAGGAGGAGCCAUCAGGCCAGUUCUCUGGGAUACUGCUGUGUCUCCAGCUCUGCAGUUUGCUCUUCGUCACUCAGCGGCAGACGGAGAGGCAGACACGAGCCCCUUGUGAGCCCUCCUCCUUACCGUCAUCUCACAAUGCUCUGAAAUAAGGAGGCAAAUGGCUGAGGUCCCCUCAGUUGUAGAUGUGAUUGAGUUCUAUCUACCAGAAGCAUAUGCCUCCUGGAAGCCUGGUUCUAACACCUCCCACAAAAUCCUUCAAGCACUUUUUUCUGUUCCAAGGUUUGCUUAUGGGGGACCCAGUGAAGUGCUUCAGAGCCCUAGAGAUUUGCUGAGUCAUAUGAGGGGUCAGCAAACUUUUCCUGUAAAGGGUCAGAUAAUAAACAUUUUAAGCUUUGUAGACUGUAUAAAGUCUCUGUUUCUUCUCCCCCUCCUCCUCCUCUUUCUCCUUCAGCUUCUUUCCUUUAAAUAUGUACAAAACCUUUCUUCUUUUCCAAAAUCUGUCUAUAUUUGACCUGUGAGCUGUAGUGUGCUGAGUCCUGCAUUAGUAGGAAAGAUCUUGAGUUUCAGAAUGACGAUGUAAAGCAGAGACCCUCCUCCCCGCACCCAUUCUCUGCAACCGACACUUGGAUUACUUUUCUUUUACUCUUUGUCUUUCUCUGAAGUAUAGAUGUAUGGUUGGCUUUCUGAGGUCAAAUAUAAUUAAGAGGUAGCCAACCAUUUGGCAAAUUUGAACCAAGAAGAGUUCUGAUAUAAAGAAUGUAGGACCCAUUCACUCCCAAUUAGUCUCUUCACUGAAAGGUGGCUUACACCAGGUAUAUCUCAUUUGCUAAUUUGCUUAGUCCAUGUCUAGGGAACCAUUGUGAUCAAGCCAAUAUACCCAGGCCAGAGCAGCCUGCUUUAGAAUCAAAGCUUUAGGCUAGGCGUGGUGGCUCACAUCUGUAAUUCCAGCACUUUGGGAGGCCGAGGCGGACAGAUCACUUGAGGUCAGGAGUUCGAGACCAGCCUGGCCAACAUGGUGAAACCCCGUCUCCAUUAAAAAUACAAAAAUUAGCCGGGCAUGGUGGCGGGCCCUGUAAUCCCAGCUACAGCUACUUGGGAGGCUGAGGCAGGAGAAUCACUUGAACCCAGGAGGAGGAGGUUGUAGUGAGCUGAGAUUGCAUCACUGCACUCUAGCCUUGACAACAGAGUAAGACUCCACCACAAAAAAAAAAAAAAAAAAAAAAGAAUCAAAGCUUUAAAAUCCAGCAGAAGUAAAAUUUCCAAGUGGGAGGGAAGAGGAUCAACAGGAGAAUCUGCAAGAGUAAAAGAGGAAGAAGAUGUGUGCUGCAUGGCACAAAAUGAAUCUGCAAAGCAUCUGGGAACUGCAGACCCUACUGAUGCCUGGAACUCACUGGAGUCAGCAUGUCCAGGCAGUCAUUGUAGCAAGUCAGAGUGGUGUGAUGAAAUGCUUCAGGAGAAAAACAUUUCACCACAGCCUGGUUCACUCAGAUACCUUGCCAGGGAACCAACAUCUCACUCGGGCCUCUGAUAUUGUAACUGUGGGCCUUUAAGAAACAACGGAAAACCCAACUGAAUAAAAACUGACCUCCUUUGUGGCUGCCCUGAUGGAAGGGGCUCAGGAGCAACAGCCUUCAUGGUGCCCACCCUCUGGGCCAGAACAACGGAUGCCCCACAACUGAGUUUAGUGCCUCCAAGAACCACAGCUUUUUUUUGCAGCAGUAAGAGCAUACCUCUGAGGCACUGUGAAGAAUCUGAUAGUCGAACUGAAUGAAGCCAAGUCCAGUCUUUACGGAAAAAUUUACACAACACUUCCAGGUGGGCAGAUUCAAAGACAGGAUGAAUCAUGGUUCAGUGCAGUGGUUCCUGGCUGUAAUCCUAGCACUUUGGGAGGCCGAGGCAGGGGGACUGCUUAAGACCAGGAAUUCAAGACAAAUCUGGGGAACAUAGUGAGACCCCGUCUCUACAAAAAAUUUUAAAAAAUUAGCCAGGUGUGGUGGCCCGUUCCUGUGGUCCCAGCUACUCAAGAGGCUGAGGCGGGAGGGUCACUUGAGCCCAGGAGUUUGAGGUUACAGCAAGCUAUGAUCGCACAUCACUGCACACUAGCCUGGGUGACAGAGCGAGACCCUGUGACCCCCUUCCUCCCUGAAAAAAAAAAAAAAAA